AUUGAACGCUGGCGGCAGGCCUAAAACAUGCAAGUCGAGCGGUAGAGAGAAGCUUGCUUCUCUUGAGAGCGGCGGACGGGUGAGUAAUGCCUAGGAAUCUGCCUGGUAGUGGGGGAUAACGUUCGGAAACGGACGCUAAUACCGCAUACGUCCUACGGGAGAAAGCAGGGGACCUUCGGGCCUUGCGCUAUCAGAUGAGCCUAGGUCGGAUUAGCUAGUUGGUGGGGUAAUGGCUCACCAAGGCGACGAUCCGUAACUGGUCUGAGAGGAUGAUCAGUCACACUGGAACUGAGACACGGUCCAGACUCCUACGGGAGGCAGCAGUGGGGAAUAUUGGACAAUGGGCGAAAGCCUGAUCCAGCCAUGCCGCGUGUGUGAAGAAGGUCUUCGGAUUGUAAAGCACUUUAAGUUGGGAGGAAGGGCAGUAAAUUAAUACUUUGCUGUUUUGACGUUACCGACAGAAUAAGCACCGGCUAACUCUGUGCCAGCAGCCGCAGUAA
Molecule: ribosomal RNA, 500 nt
Filed under: uncultured bacterium
Lineage: Bacteria
Description: partial 16S ribosomal RNA
Rfam family: Bacterial small subunit ribosomal RNA
Source: RNAcentral